This 200-nucleotide unclassified non-coding RNA is filed under the name Chaetosphaeriales sp. RNAcentral describes it as "partial internal transcribed spacer 2". Lineage: Eukaryota; Fungi; Ascomycota; Sordariomycetes; Chaetosphaeriales. The record is from RNAcentral.
UUAAGUUCAGCGGGUAUUCCUACCUGAUCCGAGGUCAACCUUUAAAAGAUGGGGUUUUACGGCAGGAGCCCGCCCGACACCCGGAGCGACGUGUAUUACUACGCUCGGAGUCGGGACGAGUCCGCCGCUGUCUUUCGGGGGCUGCAGGCGCAGGUCCCCAACACCAGGCGGAGCCUGAGGGUUGAAAUGACGCUCGAACA